UGAUGACUGGAGAGACAUUUCAAGCCAAAAUCAAAAAAUAUAUAUAUAGUUAGUAAUUGACCUCAUUUCAAUGGGAAUUUGACCGAUCAAAAGGACUACAAUAACAUACCUUCUUUUUGGUCUUGCCUUCAUCAUCCUCCUCAUCCUCCUCGUCAUCUUCAUCCUCAUCUUCGUCAUCAUCUCCCUCGUCGUCUUCAUCCUCAUCAAUAUCAUCAUCAUCUUCAUCAUCAUCCAACUCAAUCUCUUCCUCCUGAAUAGCUUCCCCAGUAAACCAUGAAACAGCAUGGGGGAUAAUCUUGUCUCUAAUUGUUGAUCUACACAAAGCAAUAGAACUAGGCAAUCAAUUACAAAUGCACUACAGCAAUUCAAUUUAAAAGAUGAGACAUGUAAGAGCAACAUCAAGAGUACCCACCCAAUAUCGUAAUCUUGUUCCAUUUGAUUUUGAAGCUCCUCAGCCUGUUAAAGAAACAGAAAUAAUGUGAAACAGAGAAUAAAACAAAUGAUUAUCAUCAAUUAAUGCUACAAAUGCCAUGAUAUCAAUCUUACAGUAUCUUCAUCAAUGUCUUCAUCAUCUUCAGGGACUUGAGGUGGAUUGAAAAAGUUGAAAAAACUUUCACAUUCUUCAGUUUUAGUAAUUGGCUUAGCAUUCUUUGAUCCCUUCUUUGGCUUCUUCUUAAGGAGCUUCUGUGUCAAGCAUUUCCCUGGAUACCAUUCAAUCUCCGUCCUACAAAACAUCAGCCGCAAGAAAAAUUUAGAUCAUGCAAAGUAUAGUGAUAUGUAUCUCAACAUAAGUGCAAGGAAAGAAACACAAGUUACCCUAUAGCUUUCUCAAGAAUAGGCUCAUCUUCAUCAAUCAUGUGAUAGGUCUUUGUCAAGACAGUGUUCUUGAAGUAUGGAUUGGGGUCAAAGUAGAAUUCAAGCUUGAAUCCCUUUGGAUCAUCAAUCCUAAACCACUUAAUGUCUUUGAGAAACUUGAGAGCUCCUUCAUCGCGCUCAGUAAUCUAAUUUCAACAAAACAAGGAAAAUAUUUUAAGAACUCAAAUACCAUGGUAGUACCAAAUCAAACUAAAAUAGCCUUAAACUUACUUCCUCAGAUAGGACAUCAUUAUUUUUCAUUGCAGUAAGCCAGAAGUCCGGCACUCCUUUCUCUGCAUUAUGCAUAUAAAAAAUCAAACACAAAUCCACAACAGCCUUAGAGAAAGGUCCUAACUCCUAUGUUGAUAUUCAAAGGGUACCUUCAGUGGCUUUAUCCUCUUCCUGGUCCAUUGCAACUUCAUUUGGGGCCCCUUCAACAACACCAUUGACAAUCUCAUAUCUCUGCAAAUAAAAUUACAUGAAUCAAUCUUCAAAAUAAUUAGGGAAAAAACAAAAAUGUGAAAACCCAAAGCACAACAAUGCCCUCACACAGGAAUAGUUAUGGCACCAUUUCAGAUACCUAGCACCAAGAGCAAAGGAUAACCUCUAUGUGGGAUAAACAAGAAGAAACCCAAACAAUUGUUGGUAAAGAGCAAAAGAGCUACGUUUCCCUUUUCCAAGCCUUUUUUAAAAAAAAAACCUUCAAAGAUCCCAUAAAAAGAAACUCUCCCAUUGUUGCAUGGGCUGGAACAUCCUUAAUUACCAAGGAAAUCUAUUCACCUUUCUAUGCAAAUGCAGACAUAUUCAUUAGAGAAGAUGGUAUGAUACCUUGGUGUACAUAGGCUGAUACAAUUUUUGAUAUUUGGCUUCCAGUGCUGCUCUCUCCUCAAAAAAUUUUGCCUCCAAUUCAUCAUGUUCACUCUGCAAAUCAUAAAAGAAUUGUUAACCGCAUGCUUCCUUGUCAAGGUUUUGUGCAAAUUAGAAAAAGUAAUAAACCAUGAAGAGCAAAAUACACCCAGAUACAUACAAGAAAACAAAAGUUGAAGUUCACAGCAUAAUAAAUGGAAUAUAAGGCACUGGACAGAUGCACUACAAUUAAUUACAGCAAUGGAAUUAAGGCACUGGGCAGUGCCAAGUCAAGAAAUAUCAGAACAUAUAAAGCAAGCCAUUAGCGGGAACUGCCAGCCAUACUCAAGAGUUUUCUGUUUUAAGAUACCCGUUGUAAACAAGAUAAUUAUAAACCAUUUUCUACCGUCUCCAGUGAGCAGGAAAAUCCCCAAGAUCAGCAAGCCAAAGUUUAGCAUUUGCAAACAGAACAUAUAACAAAAAAAGAAUUUUCAACAAUGGUCCUCAGUUGGCACUAUUUAGAACUCAAAAUACUAAAAACUUGCACCGGAAUUUAUCAUGACAAUAACACACAUAAUGAACAUCAAAAUACGUGCCUGGAUCUCUCUGAGAACCUCAACACGCUUCCUGACUGCUGGAGUCAGUUUCUCGAGAACAUCAGAGUGCUGCCCAGCAAGGUUCUGAAGUUUAUUCUGCACAACAAAAAAUGAUUCUUCCAUUAAACAAUCAAAAAACCAAAACAUCUAUACAGUAACACAAAUUGCUUACCUUCAGAACACCCACGAGGUCAGCUCGAGCCCCUUCAUCAAGAGCUACACAGAGAACAAACAAAACAACGUGUCAGAUAGUAAAUAAAAAUUGGAUAAAUUACUAAAAUAAUUAGGGUUUUCUUGGAGAUAAGAAGUCACAGGCGCGGAGAUCUGUAACGUUGAAGUUAUCUUUGUCGGCGCUCAUUGUCGGCGGAGGAAGAAGCGACGGCGUUUUAGAGAGAGCGAGGGGAUAGGGUGCUAAAACCCUAGGCGAACAAAAAGGAAUUGGUGAAAAACAAGGGAAACGAGUUUCGACUUUGAUGAGUUAAGAGAGGCGUCAGAAGAAAACGUGGCCUCGCUUAAAUCCUCUCCCUCGCCCUAAAAACCUAACACUUGCUCUCUUUUAGUACUUAAGGCGGUACCUGUUCUGUCUUUUUACUAUUUUUUUAUUAAAUUUUUUUCCAGGGCCGUGUUCCUGUUGUAAUUUUUUUCGUGAGCUUGGGAUUUAAACUGUUUUUUUUUUUUAAAAAAAAAAAUUUACUAAACACCAAUUAUUAUUUAAAGUUUUACAAUAGUUCAUAGGAGGAUCUUAACAAUCAGUUUUAAACAAAAUUGUAGCAUAAAUGAAAAAUCAAAGAUGGAAAAAAAAAUUCAAAUAUAAAGGCUCAACUCAAAUGGACUGAAUUACAUACAUAAGGUAAUAUUUUUUUAUAUGUUUGCUGUAGUACCAAAUUGGCCUAAAUUGUGUCUGAUAAAAAUAUUUGACUUUGGAAAAUAUAAUACAGAAAUAAGCUAAUAAAGAUUACUUAAUUUGAAAAACCCUAAGAUAAUAUAUGGAAAGUCUAAAAGUACUCUUUAAAAAAAUAAUUUAAAUUAACUAGGGGAACAUUGUUCACACGUAUUUGAGUUAUCGAAUUUGGGAAAACCCACAAUCAUUUUUUUUAUGUCACAGUAAAUAAAAGAAUAAAAAAUAAUCAUAUCUUGCUAUAAUAAAAGCAAGCGUUUCUUGCAUAAGUUAAUAUUACAAUGAUAGUGAUAUACACAAAGGGUGCGUUUGACAUUCUGUAUUACAUUAUAUUAAUGUAGGUUACUGUAUUAUAUUAUAUUGCAUUAGUACUAUAUCAUAACAAUAUUAUACAACAUUUGAUGUUACAUUAUAUUGUAUCAAUUUUUAAUUAUAUUAAAUUUGGUGUUGUAUUGUACUGUGCUAAUUUUUUUGAUGAUUAAUUUAAGUUAUAUAUUUAGAAAAUAAUAGUACUUAUAAAAUACUAAAUAUAAAAGUCUUAAAUUUUAGAAAGUUACCAUCAUUUUUUUAGUAUAAAUGUUGAAAGAAUUCAUAAUUUCGCAUAAAGAUUGAAGCUUAUGACCUUAAAUUUUUUACAGUAAAACAUUUUUUUUCCAGCAAUUUCUAAAUAUAUAACCUAUGAAAUAAAGAUCAAAACAAAUAGUUCAAUCAAACAACCUCUAAAUAAUAUCAUAAAAUAAAUAAAUAGUUAAAACAUACAAGAUUAGUUCAAAAGUCAUCUUUGGAUGAUUGAAUAAAAGUUUAUAUAUAUUACAAGUUAAUCACAAAAUAAUAAAGUGAUACAAUAGUUGUAACAUAAUUACCAACAAAGUAGAUUGUAUUAAAUAAUCCAAGUACACACACCCGUAUGCCAAUUGGAAAUUAGUAUUUUGAAAUACCAACAAAACUCCAACAAGUAUUACUGUAUAAUAUCGUUGUUAAGUUAGAAAUUCAUACUCCCUUAUCAAACUUCACCUUAGAAAUACAUACUCCCUUAUCAAACACCACCUCUCCUUUCAUGCUCAUGCAAAAGCAUCCAAACAUCUGUCAACUUAUGGUCACGAUCAUUUCAUUAUGCCUUGAAAGCCCUUAUAUUUGAAGGUUUCUUUACCAUUAAAUGUAAGGCCAUAAGCUCAUCAUCCAUAGACAGUCCCAUUGAAGUAAUCUCUUCGACAAUGUAAUUAUGAUCUUCACUAUUUCCAUACAUAUUCUGAGACAUAUUAGUGUUGGCUUGGUGAAAUGCUGAAACUAAUUUGUUAAUACUAACAACAAUAUAAUCAUCUAAUUUAGGCUUCGUCCUAUGUGAUGGUUGUACAUGUGAUCAAGUAAUGUAUUGAGAAUUUGAAGGAGGGGUAGCAGACAUCAGAGAACCUUUAUCAUCAAUCGCAUUGUCAUCAUCAUGAGUUUCUUCUUGAAGAGCUGCAUUAACCAUAUCAAUUGGAGUUUUUGCUGGACUUCUAGUUACGUGGACUUUUCCAAAUAUAUUUACUAGCCUCUCAUAAUAUGGAAAUGACUUGUUCCUCUAAUUGCUUGUUUAUUUAUGGGACUACAUUAUUAAAACAAGAUAAUUAAAUGAACUCUAUUAUAUUUAUAAGAAACAAAUUAUAUAUAACCAUGCAACCAUGAAGAUAUAACUAAUGACAUAAAAAGAAAAUUAUUUUCCUUAUUUUAAAUUCAAAAUACUAACCUCUACAUAUGAUUUCCAUACUUUUUCACUAUCAAUCUCCACACAUUUUCUCACAUGAUUCCAUCUAAAACUGCUAGUAUUCAACAUAUUAAAUCGCAGCCCAUACUUCCAUAUCCUUAUCUUAGAGCCAAUAUGCAGGGAAGCCUACAAACCACAUUUUAGUAGUAGUUUUUUAAAUUCAUUUUGAAUAUAUUUGUCACUUCUAGAUUUUAAGGUACCAUUAUCAGCUCGAGUACCAUUUGCAAUUACUGCAUCUAGAAUGUUUAACAUUGUUUCUUCUUCAUCUUUUGUCCAUGCUCAUCUUAAGCUUGUUUUAUUUCCAGUAGUAUGACUUAAACUUUCACUCUCCAUUCCUACAAAAUGAAUAUUAUAAUAAUUUCUUAAACAAUUAAUUGAAAUAUUACACUAAGUUAAGCUAACAUAAAUAACACUUGAUAAAUUCCUAAUGAGAUUUAUAUAUUAACAAAAGGUUAUAACCUUAGAUACCUUUGUAAGGACAUCAUUAUAUUAGCAAAAGUACAACUUUAGAUACGUUCCUAAGUUUAUCGAUAUAAUAGGAAAAGUACAAUCUUAGAUACAUCCUUAAGGACAACGAUAUAUUAUGAAAAAUACAACCUUAAGACACAUUGUUGAGGACAUCGAUAUAUUAGGAAAAAUACAACCUUAGACACAUUCUUGAGGACAUCGAUAUAUUAGGAAAAAUAUAGCCUUAAAUACUUUCCUAUUGACAUCCAUAUAUAAACAAAAGUAUAACCUUAGAUACUUUCCUAAUGACAUCUAUAUAUUAAUAAAAGUAUAGCCUUAGAUAAAUCCUAAUUUCCAAGCCUAUUGUUAUACAAAGCGGUAUCUAAAUUAUUCCUCCAACUCGUCCAUUGAUCUGAACCUGUAAGACUACUUUAUGUUAUUAAUACUAUCUACUUCAUUAUUAGAUAUGUUAAGUAAUUUAUGCUCCAUUAGAUCCACAUACAUUUCCCCUAUGAUUAGAUUAUGUAGUAAACAACAUGCAGUAAUAAUGUGACAUUGGUUUUCAUUAGAUAAAAUGAACUUUGAAGAAUAGGCUAUCACAUUUGAGCAAUCCAAAUCACUACUUAGUUACAUUUCUUACUAAAGAAUGUUUCAUGUUAAAGAACUAUUCUGUUAACAUAAAUAUUUCUUUAUUGAUUUUGAUGAUAACAAACUUGAUUAAGAUUUAUUAAUCAUUUAAAAGUUCAAAAUAGUUUUUAUAUAUUUAAAUAAUCAUUCUCAUUUUAUAAAGGCGUUAUAUUCUAUGAAAAUGUUUUUGGUUAUUCUCAUGUUAAUGGUUUCAAAUUGAAAAAGCUUUGAGAUUUUUUAUGAUAACAAGUAUUGCUUAAAAUCCUGAAAAUGGACUUAAUUGACAAGUUUUAUAAAGUUUUUGGCCAUAGUAUAAAUUUAUAAAGUUUUGGGGUCAAACGAGAAUUUUGUAAAAAAAGUACACUGUAGCAGUUACUGUAGAAAACGACGAUCCGAAAUCUUGAUAAUGGCUCACCGACAUCGAACAGAAUUGAAGAUUAGUUUCUGGACAGUAAUGGCAAACCGACAUCUUGAUAACGGCUCGCCGACAUCGAACAGAAUUGAAGAUUAGUCUCUGGACACUAACGACGAUCCGACAUCUAGAUAACGGUGAUCCGACAAUUUAAAAAUUCAGUCCAACGGUCAUAUUGACUAGUCAAAUGGCGAUCCGACAUCUAGUUAACGGCGAUCUGACAAUGUGCAGAAAGUCAAUAACGGCUAGUUUUCAGCUCCAACUAUAAAUAAGCUCAUUCAAAUUCAAACAAGAUUGUUCACAACACGACUAUUGAGCUUAUAUUUGAGAAUACAAUCUUCAUAGAGCUUUAAAAACACAUUCUUACUUCAUCUAUUCAUAUAUUGGGCCUUGAUUUGUAAUCUUAAAUAUUGUGUGAGAGAAAAAUAAUUUUUAUUCUUUUACUUUGAGUGAUUGUAAGUGUUGGGAUAUACUUCUGUUAAGAGAUUGGGGAUAAUCUCUUGUUGUAAAGGUUCAUUGAAACCUUGGAAGUCAAGUGUAAGCAUUUGAAGUCUUGGAGGCUUGCUUAGUGAAAUCUUCAAGCUUGGAAAGCUUGGAGGCGUGGACGUAGGCGAGGUUGGCCAAACCAUGUAAAAAUCUUCGAGUUUGAAUCUCUCUUCCCUUAUCUUUUUAUAUUGUAAUUGAUUUAAUUGUUAUUCCAUUAAAUUCAUUUUAGAUUUGCAUGAUAAUUUGUUUUAGAAUCAAAUAAUUUUUAGAAUCCCAAUUCACCCCCCUCAUGGGUUGCAUACUUGUAUUUCAUAUUCUUUAUUCGAAGGAGGACACCUAUCUUUCUAUUCUGAUAAAGGGAAAUUAUCAUUCAUAUACCCUAUAUUUGCUCUGUUAUAAAAAAUACUACAACACUUUGAGGGUGUAUCAAUCGUCCACCAUUAGUUGACAAAAUAUAUCAGCCGACCACCAAACCGUUAGUUGCCGUUUGAAAGUUAAUGGAGUUACAGUGAAUUGACGAUUUUACCCUUGAAAAUUAUCACUUGUAUACCCUUAAAUUCUCUUUUUAUCACUUGUAUACCCUUAAAUUAUCACUUAUAUCAUAUGAAAAGACCAAAUUACCCUUUUGACGUUAUCAUACUUAAACGGCAACUAACGGUUUGGUGGUCAGCUGAUACAUUUUGUCAACUUAAGGUGGGCGAUUGAUACACUCUCGAAGUGUUGUAAUAUUUUUGAUAAUAAAGUAAACUAAGGGUAUACAAAUGAUAAUUUCCCUUUGAUAAAUGAUAUCUUGUUCCCUUAUACAUUGUAAGAAAUCCUUUAGCAUUUGUGUAUUCUUCAUCCGCAAGAUAGUAGUAACCUAUUUAUUUCACAUAAGUAUUAGUAUAAUUUUUAGUUUGAAUAUGCAAUUUGAUUAAAUUAAAUUUUUGGAAUAAGUAAUACCUAUAUGAACUUUUAAAUCAGUGACUUAUUUAAUGCAUCGAAAGUAUUCUUAAGUAAGAUGCAGAGCUUUCUCAUCCAGACAUCACGAAGAUGAAUUUCAAUUCUCGUGUGCACAUACCCCUAAAACAUUUGUAGCAAUCUCAUCAUUGUAUGAUAUCUUGGCUUGUCUUUUUCUGGCACAUGAACUUUAAUGUAAAUUUCACCUAAUGCCCAAACAAUUCUACAUCAUAAAGCGAAUGAAAAAUUUAUUAACAUUAAACUAUUAGUUAUAGUCAAAGAUAAUGUACUGUAAACCACUUCCCCUCUCAUCAGUGCAAUUCUCUGGUAUAGGUUGCCCUUAAUCAUCUAAUCAUAAUAUUUCAUUUAUCAUUGCAUUGAAGUAUUUACUAACAAUCUUUCAGAUCCGAAAAAACCUACUACAAUUGUGCGAUUCUUGAUAUGAUAAGACAAAGUAUAAAGGAAUUGCAAAUUUGCUCUUCAAUCGUCACUAAACCAUUAGCCUUUAAUCCCCUAUUCAAUCGAAGUAGCUUAGAUAGUAGGCUAAAUAUCCUUCCAUCCAUUCCUAAUUGAUUCACGCAUUGCAUGUCACUAUUGCCAAUAACGCUUUAUAAGUAUUAUAAUCAAGUGCCAUGGUUUUGGAAUAUACAAUUAUGCAUCAUUUUUCUUUGAUUAUGCUUUCAAAUCAACAUCAUUAACCAAUAUAUAUAUAUAUAUAUAUAUAUACACACAUUAACUCAAUUUCAUUUGCCACAUGACCCCAAAAAAAAAAAGAAAAUCAACUAGUAGCCCAUUGAUAAAUUUUCAUAAAAUUAAAUGAUAGCACACUUCUUUUUGCUUUGUUAAAUAUUUUUUUAUCAUUAUUAUAAAAAUGUAAACUAAGUUGAACAAAAUCAAAUUUCAAUUUUGAUGCAAAGUUUAACCAAACAAAUAAACGAAAAAAAUAAAAGAAAAGAACAUGGUCGAAAAUGCAGAUUGGGGAUUGAUUCAAGCUUAAUUUAUCAAGCAUUUAACUUAUUUUCUUCUUCUCAUAGUCUCAAUAAGCCCUUGAAGCACGAGCUUUGACUCAAUUUGUUUUGUAAUUAAACUACAUCAACCAUGCAAAAAGUAUUAAUAUAUAGGUCAUAAAUAUUACAAUAAAUGACCAAAAUAAGAGUUCAAAACCCAAAAUUUCUAAUCUAUUAGUAAAAAAGAUUCUAAGUAUCAAAUGCAGGUAAUCAAUUAAUAAUAAUUGAAAAUCUCCGUAAAAAACACCUUUUUCUUGAGGCACUUUUACCAGAAUUGGCAUACCCAAAAUAUUAUUUUAAUAAUAAAAUUCUCUUAAUUGAAAUAAGAGAAACAAAAUAAAUGGCAGCUAUAUUCCACUUCUAAAAAAAAUAAAAAAUUCUGAAAGUAAUAGUAAAAUUAGUAAAAAUAUCUUAAAAUCACAAAAACAACCAAGAAAGUUUUUGGCUCAAAUAUGAGGCAAAAUGGCUAAAGCAUUUUUAGUUCUCGUUUGUCUUAUUGCAAGCCUCAAAAUGGCAUGUUACAUGGCCCAAAGGACACCUAUAGCUCGAGUUAUGACCUUGAGAAAGUACCCUCCUAAUCCUAUACACUCAUUUUACAUCAAUAACUACGUUGAGCAAUUUGAGUACCUUUUUCAUCAUUUCUCUAUCUUUACUCAAUUAAGGUUUAAUUAAUGAAAUGCCCCAUAUUGAUUUUUAAAAUCUAAUUCAAGUUAUGGUUCAAAUAUAUUUAUUGGGAACAAUCAGUAAUAUUAUGUGGCCUUUGUAAAAGGCUAAACAAGCCUACACCUCUAUAUAUCUUUACUAGACAUUAGGAAUAUAUCCGAAACAUAAGCCUUCCCAAUCAAACCAGGGUAUUGCCUUUUCAAUAGUCUUUGAUUAAUAUAAUUCCUUAAGCAUCAUAUAACAAGACUGGUAAAAAUUUAACCUAUAUAACACAUUAUGCCUAAAGUAAUUAACUUUCACACAUCCUCUUUAUAAAGUAGAUACUUGAUCAAAACAAAAUCACAAAGAGGAAAAUAUAACCAUGCAUAUGAUUUACACGUAUAUAAAUAUGCUUGACAUUAGUUUCUGUAUUGACAUGGGUAAAAACCAAGGCAAUAAAUUAAGAAAAUGACAUAUGAAUCAUAUUUCUAGGUAGGUGUUAUAGCAUUUUAUCAACAUGGAGCUUUAUAAAAUGAAUGAAAAGGUUGUACUUUUUUAUAUCUCCAUUAAAAGAUCAUUUUCAAAUCUAUUGAUGUAAAAAAUGAAAUGAACUAAAAAUAUUACUACUUCAAAAUAAAAGCAUAGGUCAACCAAGAAACCGAAGAGUACAUUCAUUCAAUUUUUUGUCAAGCUCAUUAUAGAGGACUAGAAAUGUUAUUCUCUUCUAUAAGACCAAACAAUGUACCUAGCAAGCAUAUGAAAACAACAUUUUGCAGACUAGAGCUAUACACAUAUGCCUUGACUGUGAAUACAUUUAUUUCUUAUAGAAACCUUCUUAUGAACUGGCAAGUGCCUCUUCUUUAUCAUACUUAAAUUAGUUUAAAUUGAAACAAGUCAUAACUUAGUCCUACUUAGAACUAAUUCUAAAUUUGAAAGAAUUUAAGGAAAGAACUAACAAUAUUCACCAUGCAUAUUGCAUUUAUGUUUUUGUUUGAUGAAUAAACAAGAUUCCAACUUCGACAGUUUACCUCCAGCUAAGCUUCAAUAAAGCACAAUCAUGUGACUGCUCUGAGUGCACUUGCAACCCUAAUAAGGGAGAAUCAAUGAACCACUCUUCAACAACAUAACUAGUUUCUAUCUUUAGAACAUGAAGAGACCAUUUAUGACUCUUUCUAUGAUCAACAUUCAAAUAAUUAUCAACUCUCCAAAGUAUUAAAAAACUUUCCAAUUAUGCAAUGAAGCAAAGAAAAAUCAUAACAUAUCCAUAAAAAAAGCAACCAACUUUCCAUUUUCAGCUAGUUUACAUGAAUCCAAGCUAAUAAUCACUAAAUCUGGAUUAUCUUUAAACCUAAAUAAUGAAUCAACCAAUGUUAAAAUCUCAAAUUUUUUUAAGAGAUAAAAAAUUAAACUUUAAAUGCUCAAUUACAUUUGCCAUGAAUUUUUGUUAGAUAGAUUAUAAUAGAGAAACAUAAUUAAGUUGGAAGUACACAAAAUACCUAAUUUAGAAAUCAAACUAAAUUCAAAAUCAAACCUUAGGUGGUAAAGAUAGGCACAACAAUAGGGUUGCACAGUGGAGUGGUAGUAAAGUUAGUGUCGCAUGAUGAGGUGGUAUUGAAGCUGGUGUUGCGCAGUGGGUAGGUGUCACACGAUACGGUGGUAGUGGAAUUGGUGUCAUACGGCGAAAGAAGAUGGUGUGGUGGUGGAGCGUCGUGGAGUUGGCGUUUGUUGAGCCACUGCACGAAGAGAACAACAAGGAGAACUUGUUGAGUCACAACAUAAAUAUGAGAAUGAUAGUGAGAAUGAAAGUGAAUUUUUAUUUUAUGUCUCAACUAAUUACAAACCUGUAUAAACCUAAACCUCCACAAGUUCAACUAAUUACAAACCUGUAUAAACCUAAACCUCCGCAAGUUUACUUUAUGCGGGUUUGACCACAUUAAAAUUUUGGUAAGACCACAUUAAAAUACUAUGUAUUGUAAUUACCAAACAUGGUAUUAUAACAUUAUAAUACUAUAAGGGGCUCCAAUACCAUAUACUAAGGAGUACAAACAUGCCUUAAAAGUUCAUUUGGUACUCCCCACUAUAUGAUAUUAAAGCCCCUCAUAGUAUUAAAGUAUUACAACAAAAUGAUUGGCAAUUAUAACACAUCGUAUUAGCUAAUAUUUUAAUGUGAUAGAACUUACAUAAACUAAACCUGGUGUGAAGGGCAGAGGAUUUAUGCAAGUUUGUAUUAAUUUUGGGAGAAAAUUAAAAGCCCCUCUCACUUUCCUUCUUUUCGUGUAGUGGCUCAACAAAUGCAUAAUGUUGACUUUUGUUCUCAACUCCACAACACUCCACCGCUAUGCCAUUUUAUUUCGUUGCUUGAUAGGUAACUCCACCACCACCCCACCACACAACACCCACUAUCUUCCUUGCCCUUCAUCACUUACAUCAUUGAGUUGUAGGUUUGAUUUAUGGAUUAGGGUUUGAUUUUUGAAUUUUUUUUAGAAUCAAUUUUAUUAAUGAUUGAAUUGAUUUUUGAAUUAUGGUUUAAUUUUUUUAUAUUCAAUUUUUGUCUAAUCAAUGCGCUAUUGAUUAGUUUUUGUUAUUUCAUAUGGUGAGUUUAAAGUUAAGUGCUUGAGGAUUGAGUUUAGGUUGAUGUUCAAAUGAUGUUGACUUACUGAUAACUCUAGAAAAUGAGAGUUAUUAUAUCCUUUCUAGACUUAAAUCAAUAUCACUUAGAGAUCAAAUAAGGUGUUUUUAUUAUAUUUUUGUUAUAUUUUGCAUAAACAUUUAUUUUAGUUGAGUCUUAAUAAUUUUUGCUUAAAUCAAAGUAAUUUGUGCUAAAAACAAGUGCAUAAUUGUAUGUUUUCAGAAAGUCUUGAUUCAUGAGGGGAUGUUGAGACAUUAGAUGAGCAAGAAGAGGAAAGAAGACGACCGCAAAAGAAGUAAAGCACAAUCGGGAAUAGUGUAGUGUGGUUGCGAAAGUUAGAGCAACCAGUGCUGUAGCAAUCUGGGAACAAUGCAGGAGAAAACUUAGGCGCGGGUCAGCCACAAAAUCGCAAUCUGCAUGUUUCCUAAUUUAACGCAUGCACGCCCAUGAACUUUUAUUUUUACCCUAGUUUGCAGUAUAAAAGGGAGGCGUGCACCACAUAGAAAGGCGGCAAGGGAAUUAUCAUUAGAAUAAUUACAACGGAAAGAAAAAGAAGAUCAAAAUUACAGAGUGCUGUUUCGGCAACAUUGAAGAAUCGUGCAAAAUUAUUUGGAUUUGUCUUUCAUCGUGCUCAACUUAUAAUUAUCUUCUUCUUUUAAUUGUUUUGAUGUAUCCCAUGAUCAAUAUAUUUAUGUUUAUUUUUCUCAUUCAGAAUAUGAACUAGACUUGUUUGUAGUUGAGUGACAAGUAAUCCAAUGGGGUCUUGACUGUUCUUAUGUGUUGUUAUGUCAUUGCUGUAGCAUUUUACUCUAUUAGCUUUUAUGAAUAUAACUAUUAUUUCGGUUGACCACCCAUUUGAUAGUUUCAGUUAAGAUAGAGCAGCAAAAGGGUAUGUCUUAGCGGAUAUUAUUAGAGUAUUACUUGAUCUUAAGUUAAGUUUCCUGGAUUAAGUUAUCUUGAAUCCCAUAAGGGCAAUACUUGAAGUUAAGAUUUGUGACACACUAGACAUAGGUGUUCACCUUGCAGGGUGGAGAGAUUAAAGAUCAUAACGCCAUACCAUAAGUAGAUUAGCAACUGGUCCUUGUUAAUAGAUUUAAGGGUAUGAGACUUCCAAUAUGCGAUAGCUGAGGAUGCAGAUAAAUUCUGCCCAGUGCUGCAACACUUGCCGUAACAAUUGGUGCUAACUUGAUGAAAAACAGUCAGCCUAUAAGGAGAGUUUGAUCAUUCAGCUACCAUAAUUUCAAUUGAAUCUUAGACACAUUUUAUCUAAUAUUUUAUUACGGUAUUGUUUUAUUUAAUUCUCUCAUAAUCAUCAAUCAUGAUAAAACUUAAUUUACGAUUGUUAACUUCGGCCUUAAGUUGGUUUGCACUAUUGUGAUUACUAUAGCAUUUCGAGUAGCAUCAAUCCUUGUGGAGACGAUCUUGAAUAUUCAUCACUUUAUUACUUAUUGUGUAUACUUGCACAUUGGCAUUGGUAGCAAUUGCUUAUAAAAUUAACCAACACUUACUAACCUAAAAUUUUAAUUAUUUACCUUUUUUGAAGUAAGAAUGGUCAUUAGAAGGCAAAUUGGUAGUUGGACCGAUGAGAUUGAUGCUUAAAGAGACUGAUUUACAACUAAAUAAUUUGAAAUUUUCAUGCUAAGUGUCGUUAUAAUCAUUUUCCCCAUUGUUAUCAUUCUAGUUUGCUACCCUAUAUAAGUUGUUUCAUUUAUUAUAAUUUUUAUUUUUAUUGUGAAUUAAGAGUUUGAUAUUUUAAACUACAAGAUGAUAGUUCAUCAUGAACUUUGGAACCAAGCAACUAUAAACCAUCUCUAAGAUUCUACUAGAAACUACUGCAGUACACUUGAUAAACCAAUUGACAAAAAAAUUGAAACUCACCAAUAAAAAAUUUAAUAGAAGUAGGAAGUGAUCGGCAUUAAAGGCCUGGAUUAACAAUAAUUGGUUUAGUUACAAAAUACAUGCCCUUUCCCCAAUUUCAAUUUCAUUGGCUUUGUCAAACUUCUCGUGUUCAUAUAAAAUUCUUAGAGAUGUUUGAAAUGUCAAAAGACAACAAAAGCUGUACUUGUCUAUAUGAAACUUGAAAUGUACCUAUAAAGUCUUUUUCCUUUAUGUUAAAAGGAUGCUAAUUUUUUUGAAAUAUUCAAGGGAUCCAUAAAAAUUUUAACCCUUUACUUUUGCAUACAAUUUGGGAGAUUUAUAUAGAUUUUAAAGUUAUGAAAACUUUGGUUUGAAUUUUGAAUGAAUAAUGUUAUUAUAGACAUUAAGCAUGUCGCAGGAUACUGAAAUAUUACUACGCGUUAUUACUAGUCGAUGGGAAAAUGCUAAUGGCUGGUAUGGUGAUUAAUAGAGUUGGUCAAACAUGUCAUCAAUUCAUGUUCGUGUUGUAUUAGCUUUGUGUCGUGUCAAAUUUAGGUCACCCCAAACAUGACCCAUUUAAUAAUCAUGUUAAAAUAUUGAGAUCCUAACCCAACACGAAAAUUAAAUGUGUUACCUAAUAACGCGCUUAAUAUCUAUAUAUUUAACAAAAUGUAAUGUGUGUGUAUAUAUAUAUAUAUAAUUUAUUGAUAUUAUAAAAUAUACAUGUCUAUCAAAAUAUUGCACAUUUACACUAUUGAAGUUUUAGUUAUAUAUAAUAUUAUAUAUCGAUAUUAUAAAAUAUAUAUGACUACUAAUAUUUUAUAUAUUUAUACCAUUGUAGCUCUAAAUCUAAAUAAAAUUUUGUAAAUGAAUGUGCAUAUGUUCAUCCUUACAAAAAAAGAAGAAUGAGAAAAUCAUGUCUAUUAUUGAAGUUUUGAUGACACAAACCUACAAAUUAAUUUGGAAUAAAAAAUAUAGUUGCAUCAUUAAUCAAUAGAUGGGCCAAGGACUUUAACUUUAACUUGACACGAAAAAAGAAUCGUGUCGACCCGGACUUGACUCAUUUAAUAAUCGUGUCAAAUUUAACGAUUUAUACAUAUUUAGUUGUGUCAUGUUCGUGUCGAAUAAUCAAAUCUUUUGAAAAUUUGUCACCUUUAAUGAUUACAACAACCUCUUAAGCUAGGACAAGCAGAGAAUUCAAAAGCAGGACAAAUAAUUCAGUGUUUUCUUAAAUUCAAAUUAUUGUGCAUAUAAUUUCUCAACUUUUCAAUUAUAUAAAAAUAAGUGCAACUUAUUUGGGAAACUUAUUCACUACAAGAAAAACGAGCUUUAGUGAUACUUGUCCUCGGACACUUAGAUAAAAUGUAUUAGCAUAUACAUACAGUUGGGCCAUUGCCUAUGUCUAAUUGACAAAUAUCACAAAUUGCUAAUGCGAUAGUGUCUGUAAAUUAAACAUUAGUGAUCCAUGACAUUAAGGUAUCACUAUUAAAAGAUUAAUAACUUUUGUUCUAUUUUAGUCUGAAUUCUAAUUCAACGCCUUUAUGACUUAACUGCUUAAGUUCAAAAAAAAAGAAACUAUUGAGAUACAAUUUUUAUUUUAAUAAUUAUGAAAAAUAAAAAAAAUCAAAACAAAUGCAUAGCCAAAUCAGCUUUAACCUAAAUUUCUUAAACUUCUAUUUCUAAACUCACCACCAUCCUUUCUUAACUCUCUAAAAGUUAAGAUUAAUACAAAACCUAGCUGCGUAAAUCUUGUAGGAUAAAAAUCAUAGUUGAACUCUCUGACUCAAUUUUCUAUAGCCACCAACUGAUUAAAUUUUAGGAGGCCACAUAAUCUUUGUGAAAGUUGUUGCAGACUAGCCAGCUAUUGAACCAGCUAUGAAGCUAUCAGAGUUGCCACAAGUUGCCACUAAAAUAUGAGCAGGCUAUUAACCUCGAUCCACCAUAGUUGUUGUUGUGCAAAUUUUUAGUAUACUCGCAAGUGCACGAAUCUUUAGAAAUAGAAUAGUGGUAAUAAGGUCGAACUCACAAGGAUUGCUAAAAGUUGGAAAGUCUAAUUUAAGUGUAAAAUUAAUGUUAAUCCUAACCUAGUUAAGCAAAUUAAGUUUUAAGAGAAUUUAAACUAAUUAGACUAAGAAAACAUCAAAUCAAAAGAGAUUUCAAUAAGGCAAAGGUUUACCAAGGUUUCAAAAUCCAUCAAUAUUCAAUUAGUAAUUAUUUAAUUAUCAAUUAAUCUCCAAUUUUUGAGUGACAACUCGAAAUCAGUUUAUGUCAUCUCAUAGAUAUAACAAUUAACCUAAAGUAAUUAAAUCUAAUGUAGAUUCUUUUUCACUUCAGGGGAGCAUUUAUAAGCAUUAGAUGUAUCGUAUUGAAAAAUAAAGAAUCAAAGUUUCCUAAACAUUUUACGUAUCCAACUUAUUGAAAAAUAAAUAAUCAAUGAGAUCACAUUAAUCAUUAUUUCAUCAAGUUUAAAUUAGUCAAAUAAUCUCUUAACUAUCUAGAAUAAAUGAUAAGAUGAAAAAGAUAAUUAUUCAAUUAAUCAUGUAAAAGAAGAACCAUAAUCAUCAAACAAGAUAUGUAAAGGAUUGAUUAAAUAAAAAGAUAAAUAUUUAAUUAAAUAGAGUUUCGUCAUUAACCUCAAUAUAAGAAAAUUAACUAGACGUAUAUUGAGUGCUGGAGAAUGUAUAUUUAUAUAGGGUAAAAUUGUUAUUUUAUUCUCCAAAGUCUCACUAACAUUUUCACUUUUACGUUUUUAAAUCUUUUAAGCUUUUAUUAGGUGUGUUUUAUUAUAAUUUAAGUAUUUUAUGGAUAUUUUGUCCAUUUCACGACUAACAAGAAGUUAGACAGUGAAAUGAAUGGUAUUUUUGAACUUAGGAUGGUCGAAAACCUUAGAAGGAACAUAAAAAAAUAUUGGGUAUUGUUCACAUAUACGAUAUUGUUUAAGUAUACGGCACUGUUCACAUAUAUGGUCCAAUGACGUGGCAUUGAAUGAUGACAUGUCAACAUCUUAUUGGACCAAUGAUGUGGCAUUGACUAAUGAUGUGGCAAGAUACUAUUGAACCAAAAUACUGAUUUGGCGUUGACCGAUGACGUGACAACAUCUUAUUAGACUGAAAUGCUUAUGUGGUGUUGACUCAUGAUGUGUUCCAACCAAUCAAAGCUUGCCACGUGGUACUAUCUUGAGCGUGCGAAUUAUUUUCAUUUAAUGCCCAUGAUUUAUCAAUUGUAUCUAUAAAUAGAGGGCUCUCCCCUAAUUUGACACCCUUGAAUUUCUUUUUGAACUCUAUUUUCUAUAAUUCUCCCUCCAUAUUGUAUUUUCUACGUAUUUUAAUAAAAUUACCAUUUUACCCUUAGUUCAAUUAUGAGUGGCUAAUUUAGUUUCAACCUUAGGUUGAAGGUGAAACCUCAACAUGAUUCAAGGGCUUAAUUAGGUAAGUUUAUUUUAUUUUCUUCUUUGAUUUAUAUGGCUUUUUUGACUCAUUGUCGAUAGACAGUGUAUCAUGUCUAGAUUUUACAUGGUAUACCGGCUCCUUAUUGAAGGAUCGUUACUAUCUGGGACAAUGAAAGCUUAACACCAUAUUAAUUAGAGAGAAAAUUUCCCUCUAGUAUUUUGUAAGUCGUCUUGACUCAGUGUCGACAAGGAGUGUAUCUAAGUAUUUUAGUGGAUGGUCUUCCCACAUUGUCGACAGAAGGAUUGUUAUCGUCUGGCAUAACGUGUUUUUUACACCACAUUUAGUGGAAGAUCAUUACCUCUGGCACACUGAGCGCUUGACCAUUGAGAAAGGUAAAUUCUCAAGUCAGCCAGUGCCCAAUCUUAAAGGAAAACAUAAAGUGAAUACAAGUUUAUCCUAGCAUCAUGAAGAAGUCAAAGUCGUUAUGACCUUGCGAAAAAGGCAAAGAAGUGGACAAAAAACAUACCGGUGACAAAGACAACUCUAGAAUCUGAAGACCUAUCAACAAAAGAGAAAGAAGAUAACAGCCCACGAGAAUAUAUUAUUGAGUGUUAGAAAAUGUAUAUUUAUAAAGGAGAAAAUCGUCAUUUUACACUUCAAGUUUUACUAACACCCUUACUUUUAUGUAUUUAAGCUUCUUGUCAUUUAAUUAUAUGUGUUGUAUUAUAAUUAAGUAUUUUAUGUAUUUUAGGGGCAUCAUAGUCAUUUCACAAUGAACGAGAGAUUAGACGGCAAAACAGACAUCACUUUUGAACUCAGGACGGUCGAAAACCUUAGGAGGAGCAGAAAAGGAAAAAUGGCAUUGUUCACAUGUACGGUACUAUUCACAUGUACGGUACUGUCUACGUUACUGUUCACGACACUGUUCACAUAGACGGAUUGAUGAUGUGGCAUUGACCGAUGAUGUGGCAUUGACUGAUGAGGUGUCACGAUCCUGUUGGACUAAAAUUCUUAUACACUGUUGAUUGAUGACGUGGCAGCAUAUCAGUGGACCAAAAAUCUCGCGUACGGUACAUGCAUUACACAUGAUUAUUUUCAACCAAACCGCGUCACUGUUCAAGCCGGGUCAAACCGUGUUACUGUUCAAACCGCGUGGUCAAGCCGUGUACAGUUGACUGAUGACGUGGCACAAUCUUGAGCGUCCAAACUGUUUUUAAUUCGAUGGCCACGAUUUACUCAAUGUAUCUAUAAAAAUGAGGCCUCCCCCCCUAAUUGGAUAGCUCUGAAUCCAUUUUUGGACUCCAUUUUCUGUAAUUCCCUCUCCAUCUUAUAUUUUCUAUGUAUUUUAAUAAAUUUUCAUUUUGCCCCUAGUUCAAUUAUGAGUAGCUAAUUUUCUUUCAAGCUUGGGUUGAAGGUAAAGUCUCAACAUGUGUCAUGGACUUUAUUUGGUAAAUUUAUUUUCUUUUCCCCUAUAAUUUUUGUGGAUGUUUUGACUUCUCGUCGAUAAAUAAUAAUAAUCUUGUCUAGAUACCACAUUGGUUUCACCGGCUCUCUAGUACAAGGUUAUUAUUAUUUGUCACGAUAAACCAUUAGCACCAUAUUGAUUAGAGUGUGGUUCAUGAGGUGUGGAUUCCCCCUUCUUGAUUUAAUUGGCAUUAAUAAUAAAUAUUUAGCCCAUGGUGCAUGUUGAUACGGAUCCAGAUACCCAAGUACGUCAUUUCAAUAGAUUUCACUUCAAUUUAUUCUCGCAUUUUCAAUUCCAAUUUUAAAAUAAUCUAAGUUACAUUCACCACAAAUCCAACCACCCUCAUACAAAAUUAAUUCUACAUAUAAUUAAAAUCCACCUCCUCGUGGGAUCGACACUCGUCACCAUUAAUCUAUUCUACAAUAGAUUCGUGUAUUUGCGAGUUCAAUAAAACUUGCACAAUAAGUUUUUGGCGCCGUUGCCGGGGAGGUAAGUUAUUUUAAUUCGUAAAAUUAAUUUUUGUGAAUAAUUUUUUUAUUUGUUUUCUUGUAUUUUUUUAUUAUUAAAAAAAAGAAAAAAAAGUGAAUCUGCAUUUAGAGGUAAUAAUUUCUUUCUUUCUCUAUUCUUUACAAUUCUGUAAUUUAAUUUUUAAGUUAUUUUUCUUUGUAAUUUUUGUUUAUCUUAUUAAUUUAAUUUUUAGUCAAUUUAUUGCAUGAAUUUUUUAUUGUGUUUUUAUAGAAAGGUUUUAACAGUGUAAUAAGGUUAGUACCGUAAUUUCUCAUUCUUCUUUAUUUUUAUUUGUUUUGUUCCCAUUUAUCUUUUGUUCUUUGCAUGCAUGGUCGUAGGUCAUUAUUACCUAAUCUUGAACCUAUAGACCUUGAACUUGAGAAAACACUUCGCACACACAAACAAGUUAAAAAUAAAAUGGAUUUGCAACCACAAGAGAGGCCAUUUAAGGACUACUUUAGUCCUUUAGCUAAUUUGAGCACAUCAUGCAUAAGAUACCCAAAUGUAAAAGUUUUGAAUAAAUAUUUCCCAGUGCAUAAAACUAAUGCUAUUCAUAGGGAAAUUUCAGAGUUUACCUAGAGAGAAGACGAGCAGUUUUUCAAAACAUGGGAGCGAUUCAAUGGGCUACUCUUGAAGUGUCCACAUUAUGGGUACGAGAAAUGGCACCAAUGCCAAUAAUUUUUGGAGGGAUUAUUGCCGAAUGUGCAAGAAUGGCUAAUGGCAACAAGUGGAGAAGAGCUAAUGUCAAAAAGUGCAUUAGAGAUUUAGGAAUUUUUCCAGCGACAAGCAGAUAAUUUCCAACAACGGAGUCGGUCGCUCAGGAAUACUAAAAGAAUUAAAGGAGUGAAUGAGGUUCACAUUGGCGAGUCAACGUUGAGAAUCAAAGAAGUUAAGGAGAUGGUUAAAGGUCUCGCUUGACAAAUAGCAUCGUUAUCAACUGCUAAAUCAACAGAGCCACAUGACCAUGACUCAUACUCAAAUCAAGCCAAUGCCAUAGGUGUAAUGAGAAAACUAUCAAAUUACAACCCAUACUCCAACACAUAUAACCUUGGAUGGAGAGACCACCGCAAUUUUUCAUGGUCUCAAGAAUUCCAACAGAAUGGACCAGUAGCUCUAGCUCCACCAAUGCAACCAAUUCCUCAAGCCUCUCAGCCCCCAUUUAGACCAUUCAAUUAGAACCAGAACUACUCUCAACCCAGACCAUGGGAGGAUGCAUUCUAGAAUUUCAAGAAUGUUACUCACUCUGCGAUUGAGUAACAGAACCGCACCAUUGAUGGACUACGAAAUGAGUUGAGAGCCGGCUUCAACUCACAGGCCUAAUCAGUUUCAAGCCUCGAAAAGAUGGCGGGACAACUUGCUUCUUUAGUUCAGACCUUGGCAAUGACUGUUGAGAAAGGUAAGUUUCCAAGUCAACCAGUGCCUAAUCCUAAGGGAGUGCAUGAAGCAAGUACCAGUUCACCACAGCAGCAUGGAGAGGUCAAAGCAGUCAUGACCUUGCGAAAAGGAAAAGAAGUCGAUAAUAAAAUGGAGAUACCGGUGACAAAAGAAAAUCAAAUUGUACCUGUGAAUGUUGAGGACUCACCAUCGGAGGAGAAAGAAGAAACUAACCCACGAGAAUACGUUCCCAAAGCUCCAUUUCCUCAGAGGUUAGCUAAAGGAAAGAAGGAAAAAUCCACAGGUGAGAUUCUUGAAAUCUUCAAAUAGGUAAGUGUUAACAUUCCUUUGUUUGAUGCUAUUAAAUAAGUUCCAUCUUAUACCAAGUUUUUUAAAGAUCUUUGCACUAAAAAGAGAAACAUUUACGUUCAAAAGAAGGCAUUUUUAACAGAAAAUGUUAGUUCUAUACUCCAACAUAAAAUUCCUCUAAAAUGCAAAGACACAGGCUUCCUCACUAUCUCAUGUAGUAUAGGGAACUACACAAUUGAGAAUGUUUUGUUGGAUUUAGGAGCUAUUAUAAAUCUGUUGCCUUACUCAGUAUUUUUGAAACUUGGUCUUAGAGAAUUACACCCAACUCUAGUAGUGUUACAGCUUACAGAUUGGUCCACGAAAAUACCUCGUAGUAUUGUGGAGGAUGUGCUUAUCCAGGUAGACAAGUUUUAUUUUCCUGUUGAUUUCAUUGUAAUUGACAUUCAACCAAUACAGGAUUCAAGGAAGCACAUCCCCAUUAUUUUAGGCCGACCUUUCUUGGCAACUGCGAAUGCUCACAUUCAAUGCAGGACUGGAAAUAUGUAGUUGUCCUUCGGCAACAUGACUAUGGAGCUGAACAUCUUCAACAUUACCAAACAACCUCCCAAAAAGUCAGGAGUCACAGUAGUUACCAAUGCUAAUAAUGAAUUUAUACCCACUAGAGUAACUACAUGAUGACGUGUAUGCAUUGAUUAUAGAAAGUUAAAUUCUGUCACAUGUAAAGACCAUUUUCCUUUACCAUUUAUUGAUCAAAUGCUUGAUAGAUUAGCAAGCCAUGAAUUUUAUUGCUUUUUAAAUGGUUACUCAGGAUAUAAUCAGAUUCUCAUAGCACCAAAAGAUCAAGAGAAAACCACUUUCACUUGCCAUGAAAGUAAAAUUCAGAAUAUCCUUUCAUUCUGCCAUGAACAAGCUUGUGGAGGCUAUUUCAGUGCUAAGAAAACAGCUACUAAGGUUUUACAAUGUGGUUUCUAUUGGCCAACUAUAUUUCGAGACGCUUACACUUUCUGUUCUUCAUGUGAUAGGUGUUAACGAAUGGGGAGCAUUACACGAAGGAACAUGAUGCCACUAAAUCCAAUUUCAGUGGUUGAGAUUUUUUACGUAUGGGUUAUCGACUUCAUGGGACCCUUUCCCCCUUCUUUUGGCCAUCAAUACAUAUUGGUUGCUAUUGAUUAUGUAUCGAAAUGGGUAGAAGCAAUUCCAUGUAGAACCAAUGAUCACAAGGUGGUGAUAGGAUUUUUGAAAAGCAACAUUGUUUCACGCUUUAGAUUUCCUCGAGCGAUAAUCAGUAAUGGUGGUGCCCACUUUUGUAACAAAGCAUUCAAAGCUCUUUUGACAAAGUAUUCAACCACUCACAAAGUGGCGACCCUUUAUCAUUCGCAAACCAGUGGCCAAGUUGAGAUCUCCAAUCAAGAAAUAAAGCACAUAUUAGAAAAAACAUUAAGGCCAGACAAAAAAGAUUGGUCAUUAAGACUUGAUGAUGCAUUAUGGGCAGAUAGAACGGCUUUCAAGACCUCGAUUGGGAUGUCGACCUACAGGCUAGUGUAUGGAAAAGCUUGCCACCUACCUGUGGAACUCGAGCAUCGUGCAUACUAGGCCAUCAAGAAAUUCAACUUUGACAUGCAGUAAGCUAGCUCAGAAAGAAGAUUACAACUGGCAGAACUUGAAGAAAUUCGCAAUGAUGCAUAUGAAAAUGCCAAGAUUUACAAGCAGCGAAUGAAAGUCUUUCAUGACAAGCAAAUUAUGAGAAAAUCUUUUACUCCAGGUCAGAAUAUGCUUUUAUUCAAUUCUCGCUUGCACCUAUUCCCAGGUAAGUUACGCUCUCGAUGGUCUGGUCACUUUAUUGUUCACACUGUUUUUCCACAUGGGGCAGUUGAAAUUAAGGACCCAAAGAACGGUGUCACGUUUAAACUUAAUGGUCAAAGAUUAAAGCCAUAUCUAGAGUACCAACCACAUGGAGAGGACACCGAAAUAAAUUUGAGUGACCCACCAGAUUUAAAUUGAGUUUUUUUUUCUUUCUUUUCGGUGAUUUGAUUUGAUUUUUUUUCUUUCUUUUUAUUAUUCUUUUGCUAAUUGAAAUUAUUUUUGCAUAAGUGUGUUUGUUUAACCAUUAAGUUUUCUCUUAUCAUUGUUAAUCAUGAGUACCAUAGUUAAACAGUUCCUCCUGAA
This 23195-nucleotide long non-coding RNA is filed under the name Citrus sinensis (sweet orange). RNAcentral's name for it is "long non-coding RNA (CSIN_LNC001755)". The record is from RNAcentral. Lineage: Eukaryota; Viridiplantae; Streptophyta; Magnoliopsida; Sapindales; Rutaceae.